GACGAACGCACGCGGCGUGCUUAACACAUGCAAGUCGAACGGUAAGGCCCUUCGGGGUACACGAGUGGCGAACGGGUGUGUUACACGGGUGUGAUCUGCCCUGCACUUCGGGAUGAGCCUGGGAAGCUCGGUAUCAUACCGGAUAGGCCCACUGCCUGCUUGGAUGGUGGUGGAACGCUUUUGCUGUGUGGGAGGGGAGCGCGGCCUAUCAGCUUGUUGGUGGGGGGAUGGCCUACCAAGGCGACGACGGGUGGCCGGCCUGAGAGGAUUACCGGCCACACUGGGAGUGAGAUACGGCCCAGACUCCCACGGGAGGCAGCAGUGGGGAAUAUUGCAAAAUGGGCGCAAGCCUGAUGCAGCGACGCCGCGUGAGGGAUGACGGCCUUCGGGUUGUAAACCUCUUUCAGCACCGACGAAGCGCAAGUGACGGUAGGUGCAGAAGAAGGACCGGCCAACUACGUGCCAGCCGCCGCCGUAA
This 478-nucleotide ribosomal RNA is filed under the name uncultured bacterium. RNAcentral's name for it is "partial 16S ribosomal RNA". It matches the Rfam family "Bacterial small subunit ribosomal RNA", at positions 28 to 523 of the family's 1533-position model. The record is from RNAcentral.